RNAcentral lists this long non-coding RNA (471 nucleotides) under Salmo salar (Atlantic salmon). RNAcentral's name for it is "lncRNA (ENSSSAG00000097137.1)". The record is from RNAcentral. Lineage: Eukaryota; Metazoa; Chordata; Actinopteri; Salmoniformes; Salmonidae.
CGGUGAACAAGCAGGCGGUGAGCUCCCGGGUCAGCACCAUGAGGGAGUACUCCCACCCCUCCUCAGCCCACAGGUCUCAUACUCUCCAACCUGAACUUCAUUAUAAUAGGCAUUUGAAUUGGGAGAGUUUGGCAUUUUUUAAAUGGUUACAACCCAAGCCAGGUGAGGGCGGUGAGAAAACAGUAUGUCCAUCAUCAGAAACCAGCAACGCACCCCCAAAAUCUGCCUGAUACACGGACCCCCAGGAACAGGAAAGAGCAAAACCAUUGUGGGCCUGCUGCAAAAAACAUUUGCUGAGCUUUGAUAUCAGAGGACGCAGACGUCUACCAACGCAGAGUGCAGCUAGAUGAGAGCAUCAAGAAGAUCUCCAAGAUGUUUCCCAACUGCCAGACUGAGCAAAUGUUAACCACAGGCUUUCGCCAGCAGGGUCCGCUAGAGGGCUAGCCACCUACCUACACUUGCCAAAACUAU